Molecule: small nucleolar RNA, 135 nt
Filed under: Lepisosteus oculatus (spotted gar)
Lineage: Eukaryota; Metazoa; Chordata; Actinopteri; Semionotiformes; Lepisosteidae
Description: Small nucleolar RNA SNORA42/SNORA80 family (ENSLOCG00000020478.1)
Source: RNAcentral
GCAUGGCUUUGGUUUGAAGGGGGAGUGUCCCAUUAUUUCGUCUUUGUAUACUCCAUGCUAUAUUGAAAAUGUAUUCAAAACUAUUGUCUGGCCUAACUACCAUUGCAUUUGACCACUGAUGUGGAUACUACAAGG